UUGUUGUUGUUGUUGUUAUUAUGUUUUGCUUUCGUUAAUGUCAUGUGUUCUGUUGUUGUUGGUGUUAUGUGUAGUCUUCCAUGUGAAAUAUCACAUAGAAGACUAAACAUAACAUCAACAACACCAAAACACAUGGCAUUAACGAAAGCAAAUGGAAGACAAUGGAAUUUUAG
Molecule: non-coding RNA, 173 nt
Organism: Arabidopsis thaliana (thale cress)
Lineage: Eukaryota; Viridiplantae; Streptophyta; Magnoliopsida; Brassicales; Brassicaceae
Source: RefSeq